AGGUAGGCAGGGAUGGAAGGUAGGUAGGCAGGGAUGGACGGUAGGUAGGGAUGGAAGGUAGGUAGGCAGGGAUGGACGGUAGGUAGGGAUGGAGGGUGGGUAGGGAUGGAAGGUAGGUAGGGAUGGAAGGUAGAUAGGCAGGGAUGGACGGUAGGUAGGGAUGGAAGGUGGGUAGGGAUGGAAGGAAGGUAGGCAGGGAUGGACGGUAGGUAGGGAUGGAAGGAAGGUAGGCAGGGAUGGACGGUAGGUAGGGAUGGAAGGUGGGUAGGGAUGGAAGGAAGGUAGGCAGGGAUGGAAGGUAGGUAGGCAGGGAUGGAAGGUAGGUAGGGAUGGAAGGUAGGGAAGGUAGGUAGGCAGGGAUGGAAGGUAGGUAGGUAGGGAUGGAAGGUGGGUAGGGAUGGAAGGUAGGUAGGCAGGGAUGGAAGGUAGGUAGGCAGGGAUGGAAGGUAGGUAUGUAUGUAAGGUAGGUAGGCAGGGAUGGAAGGAAGGUAGGCAGGGAUGGAAGGAAGGUAGGCAGGGAUGGAAGGUAGGCAGGGAUGGAAGGUAGGUAGGCAGGGAUGGAAGGUAGGUAGGCAGGGAUGGAAGGUAGGGAUGGAAGGUAGGGAUAGAAGGUAGGCAGGGAUGGAAGGUAGGCAGGGAUGGAAGGUAGGGAUGGAAGGUAGGCAGGGAUGGAAGGUAGGUAGGGAUGUUAAUGUCAAUAGAAAAGUUUAAACUCUGAUUCCUG
This is a long non-coding RNA of Oncorhynchus tshawytscha (Chinook salmon), 724 nucleotides long. Lineage: Eukaryota; Metazoa; Chordata; Actinopteri; Salmoniformes; Salmonidae. The record is from Ensembl.